This 468-nucleotide ribosomal RNA is filed under the name uncultured bacterium. RNAcentral describes it as "partial 16S ribosomal RNA". It matches the Rfam family "Bacterial small subunit ribosomal RNA", at positions 28 to 507 of the family's 1533-position model. The record is from RNAcentral.
GACGAACGCUGGCGGCGUGCUUAACACAUGCAAGUCGAACGGAAAGGCCCUGCUUUUGUGGGGUGCUCGAGUGGCGAACGAGUGAGUAACACGUGAGUAACCUGCCCUUGACUUUGGGAUAACUUCAGGAAACUGGGGCUAAUACCGGAUAGGAGCUCCUGCUGCAUGGUGGGGGUUGGAAAGUUUCGGCGGUUGGGGAUGGACUCGCGGCUUAUCAGCUUGUUGGUGGGGUAGUGGCUUACCAAGGCUUUGACGGGUAGCCGGCCUGAGAGGGUGACCGGCCACAUUGGGACUGAGAGACGGCCCAGACUCCUACGGGAGGCAGCAGUGGGGAAUAUUGCACAAUGGGCGGAAGCCUGAUGCAGCAACGCCGCGUGCGGGAUGACGGCCUUCGGGUUGUAAACCGCUUUCGCCUGUGACGAAGCGUGAGUGACGGUAAUGGGUAAAGAAGCACCGGCUAACUACGUG